GGGGCUAUUUUAGCCCCCCACAGCUGGAGAUGGCCUUAGUCCUCAGUGGGGAUGGGAACGGAGAAUCUCCAAUAAAAGUACUGGGGCGGGGAUGGGGGUGGAGAAUGACCUCGAGAAUGGAGAUGAUAUUGUGAUCCUCAUCCCCAAUCCGCUCCAUUGCCAUCCCUAUUGUGAUCCUCAUCCCCAAUCCGCCCCAUUGCCAUCCCUACUGCUAGAAAAGUAGAAAGUGGUUUUAUUUUUGCGGUAAAUAACUUUUAUUUGUCUCAGGAUGAACUUUCUCCGAUCACCUGUAUUCUCUGCACCACCGUCUCCUCGCCACGUCUUCAUCGGUCUCCAACCUCGGCGCCGGCGUUCUCCUCCUCCACGGCUCCACAUAUCAGGUUUGAUCACUUCUAAAGUUCACUAAUUUCUAGGCUCUGUGGAACACUCAGAGUUAGACAUUUUUGAUCAGUUUUCAAAGUGAUUACCUUGAUCACAAGCUCUGGGCCUCAGGGAAAACAAACCAUAACAUAUUGAUGAGGUCAAUGAAGGGAACCUAUUAAUACGCUCAUGAAGCUUUAGGUCCAGUUGGGAGUUGAAGCUUUUAUCCCAAUUUAGGAAGGGCAUUAUAAAGUUGGAAUCCAAUGACAACUCGGCUUUUCUAGCUAUUGCGCAUGAUGUUCAGUUUGGGGUGUUAUGAGGGGAAGCUGCUACUUGAAAGUUGAAAGAGGCCCAGAGAAUAUAUCUUCCCUGUUUUAUGUCAAAGGGACUACAAUCUGAUCGUGUGGUGGUGGACCACGUGUUUGGAGAUCAAUCUUGAAGUGAAGAAAGCAAAUGGGUAUAUGGGGUAGCAAAUCUUAGCCUUCCAUGCAGCUCCACUCUCUUUAAGUAAAAGGAAUGCUUUCGGUCUUUCAGUAAGUUUAAUUGGAAUAAGAAUCGCGGCGGACCGACGCUGGUUAUGCAGAAUGAGCUGGAGAACCUGGUAUGUCUCAAAAGUGCCAGAUAGGAGGCAUUAAGGCCUUGUAGCUUUUUUCUAUCGAGCAACUGCAACUGCAACUUAAUUCUGAAUUCAAAUUAUAACCAGUCUCUGCCUUUUUCUAGGCCGGUAAAUAGUUCUUUCUGUAUACCGCUU
Molecule: long non-coding RNA, 1111 nt
Organism: Rosa rugosa (rugosa rose)
Lineage: Eukaryota; Viridiplantae; Streptophyta; Magnoliopsida; Rosales; Rosaceae
Exons: 5
Source: RefSeq, a predicted model, not a curated record